CCAAGCAGAAUGAUCUUGCUUUUGAAUCCAUCUUCAGCAGGUCAGAGAGCAGCUCUCCUCGACGAGAGAGAAAGAAAAGCUCAAAGAAGAAGAAGCACAGGUACGAGGUGGGACUACUUGAAUGAUUGGAGAAGGUUUGCUGAAUUCAGGCAGAGGUGUUUCUUAUGUUUUUUCUUUUUUUUCCAACAGGUCAGAAUCUGAGUCCAAGAAACGUAAGCAUAGGUAAGAGCUCUUUAACUCAUAGGGGGCGCAGUGGCACGUGGAGUGGGGUGAUUUCUUUUACUUGGAGUGAAGCUCAAUUCCUUGAUCUUUGUUGUGUCAACACUCCCUUUUUCCAUGUCACUUUUGGUUUUAUUUCCUUUUUUAAAGAAGUUACUUUUAACAGUCUUUCCUUAUUUCCCAGGUCUCCCACUCCAAAGAGCAAACGUAAAUCUAAGGACAAAAAGCGAAAGCGGUCUCGAAGUACAACACCAGCCCCCAAGAGUCGCCGGGCCCACCGUUCAACUUCUGCGGACUCUGCUUCCUCCUCCGAUACUUCCCGCAGUCGGUCUCGAAGUGCUGCAGCUAAAACUCAUACAACUGCCUUGACUGGGCGAAGUCCUUCUCCUGCUUCAGGGCGACGAGGGGAGGGAGAUGCGCCUUUCAGCGAACCAGGUACUACCAGCACACAACGGCCUAGUAGCCCGGAGCCUGCUACGAAACAGCCUAGCAGCCCUUAUGAAGACAAAGAUAAAGACAAGAAGGAGAAAUCUGCAACUCGACCUAGCCCCUCUCCGGAAAGGAGCAGCACAGCCCCAGAACCACCUGCUCCCACUCCGCUCCUUGCUGAGCGACAUGGCGGCUCCCCACAACCCCUUGCAGCAACCCCCUUAAGCCAGGAGCCAGUGAACCCCCCAUCUGAGGCCUCUCCAACUCGGGGCCGUUCACCACCUAAGUCUCCUGAGAAACUUCCCCAGUCUUCUUCCUCAGAGAGCAGCCCGCCAUCCCCUCAAC
RNAcentral lists this small RNA (993 nucleotides) under Pongo abelii (Sumatran orangutan). RNAcentral's name for it is "retained intron". Lineage: Eukaryota; Metazoa; Chordata; Mammalia; Primates; Hominidae. The record is from RNAcentral.